GACGAACGCUGGCGGCGUGCUUAACACAUGCAAGUCGAACGGAAAGGCCCUGCUUUUGUGUGGUGCUCGAGUGGCGAACGGGUGAGGAACACGUGAGUAACCUGCCCUUGACUUUGGGAUAACUUCAGGAAACUGGGGCUAAUACCAGAUAGGAGCUCCUGCUGCAUGGUGGGGGUUGGAAAGUUUCGGCGGUUGGGGAUGGACUCGCGGCUUAUCAGCUUGUUGGUGGGGUAGUUGCUUACCAAGGCUUUGACGGGUACCCGGCCUGAGAGGGUGAACGGCCACAUUGGGACUGAGAUACGGACCAGACUCCUACGGGAGGCAGCAGUGGGGAAUAUUGCACAAUGGGCGGAAGCCUGAUGCAGCAACGCCGCGUGCGGGAUGACGGCCUUCGGGUUGUAAACCGCUUUCGCCUGUGACGAAGCGUGAGUGACGGUAAUGGGUAAAGAAGCACCGGCUAACUACGUG
This 468-nucleotide ribosomal RNA is filed under the name uncultured bacterium. RNAcentral describes it as "partial 16S ribosomal RNA". It matches the Rfam family "Bacterial small subunit ribosomal RNA", at positions 28 to 507 of the family's 1533-position model. The record is from RNAcentral.